GCAAGUCGAGCGGAUGAAGGGAGCUUGCUCCUGGAUUCAGCGGCGGACGGGUGAGUAAUGCCUAGGAAUCUGCCUGGUAGUGGGGGACAACGUUUCGAAAGGAACGCUAAUACCGCAUACGUCCUACGGGAGAAAGCAGGGGACCUUCGGGCCUUGCGCUAUCAGAUGAGCCUAGGUCGGAUUAGCUAGUUGGUGAGGUAAUGGCUCACCAAGGCGACGAUCCGUAACUGGUCUGAGAGGAUGAUCAGUCACACUGGAACUGAGACACGGUCCAGACUCCUACGGGAGGCAGCAGUGGGGAAUAUUGGACAAUGGGCGAAAGCCUGAUCCAGCCAUGCCGCGUGUGUGAAGAAGGUCUUCGGAUUGUAAAGCACUUUAAGUUGGGAGGAAGGGUUGUAGAUUAAUACUCUGCAAUUUUGACGUUACCGACAGAAUAAGCACCGGCUAACUCUGUGCCAGCAGCCGCGGUAAUACAGAGGGUGCAAGCGUUAAUCGGAAUUACUGGGCGUAAAGCGCGCGUAGGUGGUUCGUUAAGUUGGAUGUGAAAUCCCCGGGCUCAACCUGGGAACUGCAUCCAAAACUGGCGAGCUAGAGUAUGGUAGAGGGUGGUGGAAUUUCCUGUGUAGCGGUGAAAUGCGUAGAUAUAGGAAGGAACACCAGUGGCGAAGGCGACCA
RNAcentral lists this ribosomal RNA (675 nucleotides) under Pseudomonas koreensis. RNAcentral describes it as "bacterial SSU rRNA". It matches the Rfam family "Bacterial small subunit ribosomal RNA", at positions 57 to 727 of the family's 1533-position model. Lineage: Bacteria; Pseudomonadati; Pseudomonadota; Gammaproteobacteria; Pseudomonadales; Pseudomonadaceae. The record is from RNAcentral.